UAACUCACUAUGUGUAAAAGUUAUCUGACCCAGCCCUGGUCAUGAAGUAAAAGUGACCUUACAGUUGGGAUUCUCUAAGUGCCUUACAAGGACCUCAAGCUGGCUGUAAACACUAAAAUGAUGACUUCAGUGUGUACGCUGCGCGAUGUAUUUCCAGCUCCUGAGAUACACUGGACCAUCCACUACAACCACUCUGAAUCCUUAGUUGACUCGAAGUAUGUCCACACUAAGACAGAGCAGGACCCUGAAAACUAUCUGUACACCUCCAGCAGCACUCUCCACAUCCCUGCAGGUCCUUACCGAGCCAUUACCUGUCUGUGCCACAACCCCACUUCAAAUACGACUCUGAACGCCACCUAUACUUUAAGCAAAG
Long non-coding RNA from Oreochromis aureus, 373 nucleotides. NCBI's taxonomy places the organism in Eukaryota, Metazoa, Chordata, Actinopteri, Cichliformes, Cichlidae. The record is from Ensembl.